RNAcentral lists this ribosomal RNA (453 nucleotides) under uncultured bacterium. RNAcentral's name for it is "SSU rRNA". It matches the Rfam family "Bacterial small subunit ribosomal RNA", at positions 26 to 518 of the family's 1533-position model. The record is from RNAcentral.
AGGAUAAACGCUGGCGGCGUGCCUAACACAUGCAAGUCGAACGCCCUACGCAAGUAGGGAGUGGCGGACGGGUGAGGAACACGUGGGUUAUCUACCUUUCGGUGAGGAAUACCGGCGAGAAAUCGCCGACAAUACCGCAUAGCUUUCGUAAGAAAGAAAGUCGUAAGACGCCGGAAGAUGAGCCUGCGCCCGAUUAGUUAGUUGGUGGGGUAAAAGCCUACCAAGACGACAAUCGGUAGCUGGUCUGAGAGGACGAUCAGCCACACUGGGAUUGAGAACGGCCCAGACUCCUACGGGGGGCAGCAGUGAGGAAUUUUCGUCAAUGGGGGCAACCCUGAACGAGCAACGCCGCGUGCAGGAAGAAGGUCUUCGGAUCGUAAACUGCUUUUCUCGGGGAAGAGAACGGACGGUACCCGAGGAAUCAGCCCCGGCUAACUACGCGCCAGCAGCCGC